GACGAACGCUGGCGGCGUGCUUAACACAUGCAAGUCGAACGGUAAGGCCCUUCGGGGUACACGAGUGGCGAACGGGUGAGUAACACGUGGGUGAUCUGCCCUGCACUUCGGGAUAAGCCUGGGGAACUGGGUCUAAUACCGGAUAGGACCACUGCCUGCAUGGGUGGUGGUGGAAAGCUUUUGCGGGGUGGGAUGGGCCCGGGGCCUAUCAGCUUGUUGGUGGGGUGAUGGCCUACCAAGGCGACGAGGGGUAGCCGGCCUGAGAGGGUGACCGGCCACACUGGGACGGGGUUAGGGCCCAGACUCCUGCGGGAGGCAGGAGUGGGGAAUAUUGCACAAUGGGCGCAAGCCUGAUGCAGCGAAGCCGCGUGAGGGAUGACGGCCUUCGGGUUGUAAACCUCUUUCAGCACCGACGAAGCGCAAGUGACGGUAGGUGCAGAAGAAGGACCGGCCAACUACGUGCCAGCAGCCGCCGUAA
Molecule: ribosomal RNA, 478 nt
Filed under: uncultured bacterium
Lineage: Bacteria
Description: partial 16S ribosomal RNA
Rfam family: Bacterial small subunit ribosomal RNA
Source: RNAcentral